Acanthosepion pharaonis is the source of this 112-nucleotide non-coding RNA. The record is from the annotation of a GenBank genome assembly. Lineage: Eukaryota; Metazoa; Mollusca; Cephalopoda; Sepiida; Sepiidae.
ACGACCAUAUCACGUUGAAACAUCGGUUCUCGUACGAUCACCUAAGUUAAACAACGUUGAUCCUGGUCAGUACCUAGAUGGGUGACCGCUUGUGAAUACUAGGUGUUGUCAG